Molecule: transfer RNA, 72 nt
Filed under: Ovis aries (sheep)
Lineage: Eukaryota; Metazoa; Chordata; Mammalia; Artiodactyla; Bovidae
Rfam family: tRNA
About the family: Transfer RNA (tRNA) molecules are approximately 80 nucleotides in length.
Source: Rfam by way of RNAcentral
UCCCUGGUGGCUCAGAGGUUAAAGCAUCUGCCUGCAAUGUGGGAGACCUGGGUUCGAUCCCUAGGUCGGGAA